ACUUCGCAUCGGCCGGGCCCCGCAGACGGGCGGGGGACGCGCGCUCAGCCGCCCCUCCCUCUCCCAGGCCGUCGGGGCCCGGGCGUCGGGCGGGCGCGGGCCUCGGGCCUCCGGCCGGUAGCACGCGCUCAGUAAGCUCUGCACGCUUCCCGCAACCCGGAAAUCGGGCGGAGGCGGCCUGGGCCGGGUGUGGCCGUGGUCCCGACCCUGGCGGGGCUGCCCCUCCGUCCUUGGCCCUGUAACCUUUCGCGGGGUCAGAGGCCAUUGCUGGGACCUUUCCGGGAUUGUUCCCCACCGGGGACUUGCUCUGUGUGACUGGGAGUGGAUCUGCGUGCCCCUGCGUGGAGUGAUGGCUUGGGGUGUAUGGUCCUGUGGCCGAGGGGACUUGCGUCCCGGUAGCGGGGUGCUGGCAUGAGACUGGGACUAAGCGCGCUGUGGUGGUGGUUUUUCAGUGCUCCCGGGCUAAGCUCUGUGGCCCUGUGCGUGUGACCAGUAGUGGAGGUGCCACUGGGCGCGUCCGUCCUUGUCUUGGCGUGUUGUGAGUAUAGGAAGGAGGGGAGGGGAGGACAGACAGAGUUGCUUCCCAUCCCUAGCUUCCCGACCGGACCCGCGCCUCCCGGAGGCUUGGCGCCAGCCAGCCCCGUUUAGUGGCCGGGCCCGGCUCCCCCGCCGUCCCGGGUCUGGCUGGGGUGGGGGCCGCGGCCUCGAUGACCUCGGCCCGCAGCGGCCCGGCCUGUCCCGUCCACUUAGACAAAUUGCGGCUGACAGGCGAGCAGUCUCUCUGGAGUCGCCGCCCGCCCGUCGCGCCUCCCUCCCGACCCAAUUACCCUGCGCAGGGUUGGGCCAAGUGGCUGGGGUGGGGCGGGGGGCCGAGGGGAGAGUGGGAGGCCCGACUUCUUCCCAGCUGGGUUGUGGCCCCCACCUUACUCGGGGACAGGGGGCAGAGCCACUUCUUCCGGUUAGGUCCCAGGAAGUGCCUGGGCCGUACUGCCUGUGUAGCCCUGUCCCCAGUCUUCCCCGCCAACAGAAAAGCCAGACUGGCAGCUCUGUUGAGGGACAGCCCUGGCCCUCAGGUGUCACUCGGUACAAGGUCAUAGGGCCCUGCAACCGAGACACAUCCCCGCCAGACUUUGGACGACUUCCCCAGAGUUUUAGGGAUUCCAUCAUCCUGGGAGCUCCAGACUGUGUUAUGCUCUGGGGCCAAGGUCCGCAGGGUAAAGCCGUCUGCUUGGGACACAAGGAUGUGCAAAAGUGAGGUACACAUAGGUGAACCUGCCAGUGCAUAGAUGUGCAUGGGUGUGAGAGCACGAGUGUGGGUGCCUGGGACCGUGGCAGAGUGAAUAAGCUCCCUGCUAAGUGGCUUGAGAGAGGGGGUGAGGCCGGGGAAAGGACUCCCUAGAGCCAGCUCACCUAUGAGAUGGGGCGGGGCUGGCCUGCAGCACUCACCAGGCUCCUGAUUGGUCUGCAGGGAGCAGCAGGAGCAGCUUGGGGACUCCAGCAUCGCCUCACCUGCCUUCCCUCUCCCUUGCCAAGGAGCUACCUGGCCCGUCUGCUCAGCCUCUGGGCCUCUAACCCGUCUUUUACUUUUUUGACCCAUAGCUUCUCCUUUGCCUGCUUUGGCCUGGCCUUGAUGCUCUUCGCUGGGUGUGCUCCCCUCCCCUCACUACACAGAUGAGCCCAGAGCUGCCGUAUAUUUACCAUAGGCCACACAGCUACUGGUGGCAGAGCUGGGAUGGGACCCAAGGCCACUCCCUAAAAGCUGGUGAUGGCAUUGCCGCCCUGCUAGCUACACCUGCUCAAGCAGUAAGGCAAUACUGCGACUCCAGGGCCCCACCCCUAGGCUCUUGCUUUGAAUACAGGAUGGUCCUAGAGGCUCUUCCCUUUUGCCCCUUGGGUUUGCAGCUCUCAGUCUGCAGGAGGGGGCUGCCUUGUCAAUUACACAGGGACAAAGGAGCAGCUUCAAAGCCAGAGGCCAGGGCUGGAUGCUCUUAGGGGUAGGAAAUGGGGGUGAGUGGGCUCAGAGUCCUGGAUUGUGUGCGUGGGUUAGGGAGGUUCGUGCAGAAUAGAGCCCUCCAAGGGACCUGGCCAAGGGCAUGUGAGGCAGCAAGGAGCAGACAGGGGUCCCAGAUUAGCUAUGUGUCAUCUUAACCACGGGGCAAGGCUUCUCUGGGGCUCAGCCUUCUUCUCUGCAAAUUGAGGACCAAACAGCACUUUUAGGUACCUUAUAGUUAGAGAUUCUCUGAUGUGUGAACACUCAGAAAAACUAGCCCUGAGAAACCCAUUUCCAGUCCUAGACUGACAGCUGCCUGCUCUCGCCUGUUUGUUUCCAGAGGAGCUGACACUCGUGUUUGACAGAGUGCUGUGCACCUGAAUUUACCUUGAGACCACUGGGCCACCGCAUCAAUCGAUCCCAGACAGUGCCCUCUAUCCCUGAGCGGCCACCCCAGCUCCCCUCUGACUCCUCAAAAACCGUGAAGAUUUUUUUGUUCCUCCCUCACAUUGAGAGAAGGUCCACAGUCAUUUGCCUGUCGAGCAGGUAGCAGUGUAAGAAUCAGGGAGGUCACAUGUCUUCCUCAAGGUCACCUGCUCAGGCCACAAUUUAGAUGCAUGUUCUGAUGGCCUCCUGGGUGAUGCCAUCAUGGAGGUCUGCUGGGGCUGCUGGGAGUGAGGCGGAGAGCGCCCUGGGUGUUAUCUCUAGAGGAUAGGAGGCUGGCUGCUCCCGGGCCAGUGGGCAGUACGGUCCCCCACCCUGGGGCCCAGCUCUCACUUCCAGCUGAUUACAGGCUGGGGCAGGGUCUAUAACCUCUCCAAUUAGCCAGGGGCCAGGCCCAAGGCCUCUCUGAUAACCCCAGCUCCAGUGGCAGCCGCCAUGGGGCCAGCUUAUCUGGCCUCUCUUAUCCUCCCCCUUCCCCCACAUACUCAAAGAGUCGCCCUGGCUGCGAGCAGAUGAAUAACCAGAUUGUCCUGCAAGCUCAGCCGGCAAGUCCAGCCCUACACCCACCACUUUCCCUGACUGAAGGAGGCCACAGCUGUUUUGCACCCCCUGGAGGGUGAGGGCUGAGCCAGGGAGGACUCCUGACUCGAAGAUGCCAGCCGCUUCCCUGCGUGGUUGGAGGGCGCUCCGGGCUCUCCGUCUUGGUCCCAUCCACGUGCCCUUGGGUGGGUUCAGAGAGGCCUACCCCUGCCUGCCUCAAGCUCUGGACCCUUCCACAAGGAGCCAGGCCAUGGGCAGUGUGCAAAGGCAGGCUGGUGGCAGCCCCCUCCCUCCCUGGCCCCCUUGGACGGAAACUCGGCUCAGGCUGGAGGUGGGGGUUGUGCCAGGCACCUCGAUGUCUCCAACUGAGCUGGAAGGGGAAGAGCUGCUGCUCGUCCGGCAGCCCCACCGGGCCCGGGCCUCCCUCCGUUCCCAGCAUGCCUCACUCUGGCACGUGAUUCCUCACCCCACAGGUUCCCAGGCAGGAGGGACUGGCUUCAGCCACCCUCGCUUCAGAGCUGAGUGUGACUCAGGUCCCCCUUUGCCCAGCAUGCCCAACGGGUCGGGGAGGGGCACUGGAGCUGUCCCUGCUCGGGCUGGACGGCUGGAUGGGAAGCUCUGCUUGUUUGUGAACGUAACUCUUCUGUGGCUGUCACAUUAAACGUCACUCCAAAC
RNAcentral lists this long non-coding RNA (3649 nucleotides) under Sus scrofa (pig). RNAcentral describes it as "lncRNA (ENSSSCG00000058622.1)". Lineage: Eukaryota; Metazoa; Chordata; Mammalia; Artiodactyla; Suidae. The record is from RNAcentral.